GCCCCUGCUCCUCCCAGGAGCUCCUAGCUUUUACUGCAUGCACACAGCAGACCUGUGUCCACGCAUCGUGUAAUUGCAGCCUCCUGGGAGCCAGUGCUUCUGGAGUUCUAUUACACAGAGGGAGAAAAUCAGGCUCAGAGAGGUUAAUGCCAGGCCACAGUUAACAGGCAGCUGGAAGGGAAAACAAAAGGAGUGACUGACGGGCACACACUGCGAAACACUCACCUGGCUUCCUACACAUCAGCAAGAUAUGUGUUUCUUGCCAAAGAGCAUCCGGGGAUCCCAGAGCCUGUGCGCCACCCCCUCCCCACCCCCCGGAGCUUCUUCUCUCCUCUUCUUCCCAGGCUAACAUCCUACCAUCUGCUCCCAAGAUGACUGAUAUUGCCCACCUUACUUCCCUGGGGAUGGAUGGGUCCAGGACUCAUCCCUCCCCCAGGUGCUAUAAUUUGAGGCGCUGCCCAGCUGGAAUGGACCCGGGGCCUCCCCAGGCUGCCCUCCCGCCACUGAAGAAAAUUUAACAACUGCUGAAAUCAUUGUUCUUGGACUCCAUCGGAAAGGGCUCUUCUUCCCCACCUCCUUCCUGCCUCCCUCCACAAGGGAGAGUGCAUUUGCCCCAGGGCUUCCACCAGGUCUGGGAGACAGACUAGGGGAGGGCAGGAGAGGGGGCUCAUGAGAUCCUAGCUAUAGGGCUAAGACUGAGGAACCAUCACUCUCCUGACCAUGUGAAUGAGGUUGGUUGAAAACAGGGCUCUUUGAGUUUGAGUUUGAAGUUUUAUGAUUUGUUUUUUCUUCUUCUUCCAUGAAGAGUAAGGAUAAGCACCAAGUGGGUGCCCAGCAAAGGUUGGGUGCAAGACCCUUUGAUGCUUUAUUUGGACAUUACCCACUGCCAGUCCAUCCCCAGAGCCAUGGCCUUGGCUCUCUCCCAGUGAUGAUUUCUGGUUUCCCUUCUCCCCCAGCUGCCUGGGGCAGGCUGAGGAGGAUUCAUAGUGUGGUGUCUAGAGGUUGGAGGGUCAGAAGGAUUCUGGUCCUGGUUAGCUAUGUGACCCUCAGCCAUCCUUUUAAACCUCAGUUUAAAGGGGCCUCAGUUUAAAGGGGCCUCAGUGGGCCUCAGUUACCUUAUAUUUAAGUUUGUUUGUUUAAGAGAGAGAAUGUGCUUGCAGAGGCAGAGGAAGAGGGAGAGACUCCACGCUGGGCCCCCAGAGGCUCAACAUGGGGCUUGAUCCCACAGCCCUGAGAUCCU
Molecule: long non-coding RNA, 1240 nt
Organism: Canis lupus familiaris (dog)
Lineage: Eukaryota; Metazoa; Chordata; Mammalia; Carnivora; Canidae
Exons: 4
Source: RefSeq, a predicted model, not a curated record